UCAUUAGUUUUUUAAUUGAAAGCUUGAAUGAAAGAUUUAAUGAAAAAUUAACUUUUUCAAUUUAAAAGAGAGAAUUUUAUUUUUAAGUUAAAAAGCUUAAAUUUUUUUAAAAGACGAGAAGACCCUAUAGAGUUUAAUAAAAAUUGUUUAAUAAUUUUUUAGAAUUUAAUUAAUUUUUUAAUAGUUUUUAUUUAAUUGGGGUGAUUAUAAAAUUUAUUAAACUUUUAUAUAAUUAAUACAUUAAUUUAUGAUUCAAUGAUCUUAUUAUUUAUUUUGAUUAUUAGAUUAAAUUACCUUAGGGAUAACAGCGUAAUUUUAUUUUAAAGUUCUUAUUGAAAAUAAAGUUUGCGACCUCGAUGUUGGAUUAAAAUUUAAAAUUGGUGUAGAAGCUAAAU
This 395-nucleotide ribosomal RNA is filed under the name Axinoscymnus cardilobus. Its description in RNAcentral is "partial 16S ribosomal RNA". Lineage: Eukaryota; Metazoa; Arthropoda; Insecta; Coleoptera; Coccinellidae. The record is from RNAcentral.